RNAcentral lists this non-coding RNA (148 nucleotides) under Gorilla gorilla gorilla (western lowland gorilla). Lineage: Eukaryota; Metazoa; Chordata; Mammalia; Primates; Hominidae. The record is from Rfam by way of RNAcentral.
GCUGGGUGUGGUAGUGGGCGCCUGUAAUCCCAGCUACUCGGGAGGCUGAGGCAGGAGAAUCGCUUGAACCCAGGAGGCUGAGGUUCCAGUGAGCCAGGAUGGCACCACUGCACUCCAGCCUGGGCAAUAGAGCAAGACUCUGUCUCCA